GUGCCAGCCGCCGCGGUAAUACGGAGAGGGCUAGCGUUAUUCGGAAUUAUUGGGCGUAAAGGGCGCGUAGGCUGGUUAAUAAGUUAAAAGUGAAAUCCCGAGGCUUAACCUUGGAAUUGCUUUUAAAACUAUUAAUCUAGAGAUUGAAAGAGGAUAGAGGAAUUCCUGAUGUAGAGGUAAAAUUCGUAAAUAUUAGGAGGAACACCAGUGGCGAAGGCGUCUAUCUGGUUCAAAUCUGACGCUGAAGCGCGAAGGCGUGGGGAGCAAACAGGAUUAGAUACCCUGGUAGUCCACGCUGUAAACGAUGAAUGUUAAAUAUGGGGAGUUUACUUUCUGUAUUACAGCUAACGCGUUAAACAUUCCGCCUGGGGACUACGGUCGCAAGAUUAAAACUUAAAUGAAUUGACGG
RNAcentral lists this ribosomal RNA (409 nucleotides) under Wolbachia endosymbiont of Bemisia tabaci. Its description in RNAcentral is "bacterial SSU rRNA". It matches the Rfam family "Bacterial small subunit ribosomal RNA", at positions 505 to 916 of the family's 1533-position model. Lineage: Bacteria; Pseudomonadati; Pseudomonadota; Alphaproteobacteria; Rickettsiales; Anaplasmataceae. The record is from RNAcentral.